RNAcentral lists this ribosomal RNA (533 nucleotides) under uncultured bacterium. RNAcentral's name for it is "bacterial SSU rRNA". It matches the Rfam family "Bacterial small subunit ribosomal RNA", at positions 777 to 1305 of the family's 1533-position model. The record is from RNAcentral.
AAUAGAUACCCAGGUAGUCCACGCCGUAAACGAUGAGUGCUAAGUGUUAGAGGGUUUCCGCCCUUUAGUGCUGCAGCUAACGCAUUAAGCACUCCGCCUGGGGAGUACGGUCGCAAGACUGAAACUCAAAGGAAUUGGACGGGGGCCCGCACAAGCGGUGGAGCAUGUGGUUUAAUUCGAAGCAACGCGAAGAACCUUACCAGGUCUUGACAUCCUCUGACAACUCUAGAGAUAGAGCGUUCCCUUCGGGGGACAGAGUGACAGGUGGUGCAUGGUUGUCGUCAGCUCGUGUCGUGAGAUGUUGGGUUAAGUCCCGCUAACGAGCGCAACCCUUGAUCUUAGUUGCCAGCAUUUAGUUGGGCACGUCUAAGGUGACUGCCGGUGACAAACCGGAGGAAGGUGGGGAUGACGUCAAAUCAUCAUGCCCCUUAUGACCUGGGCUACACACGUGCUACAAUGGAUGGUACAAAGGGCUGCAGGACCGCGAGGUCAAGCCAAAUCCCAUAAAACCAUUCUCAGUUCGGAUUGUAGGC